RNAcentral lists this ribosomal RNA (254 nucleotides) under uncultured bacterium. RNAcentral describes it as "partial 16S ribosomal RNA". It matches the Rfam family "Bacterial small subunit ribosomal RNA", at positions 524 to 776 of the family's 1533-position model. The record is from RNAcentral.
UACGUAGGGUCCGAGCGUUGUCCGGAUUUAUUGGGCGUAAAGAGCUCGUAGGCGGCUCGGUAAGUCGGAUGUGAAAACUCGGGCUCAACCCCGAGACGCCAUCCGAUACUGCUGUGGCUUGAGUCUGGUGAGGGGAGAACGGAAUUCCUGGUGUAGCGGUGAAAUGCGCAGAUAUCAGGAGGAACACCGGUGGCGAAGGCGGUUCUCUGGGCCAGUACUGACGCUGAGGAGCGAAAGCGUGGGUAGCAAACAGG